RNAcentral lists this small nucleolar RNA (276 nucleotides) under Geoglobus ahangari. RNAcentral describes it as "HgcG RNA (Pab40)". It matches the Rfam family "HgcG RNA (Pab40)". Rfam says of the family: The HgcG ncRNA gene was identified computationally in AT-rich hyperthermophiles. The genes were named hgcA through hgcG ("high GC"). HgcG is of unknown function. hgcG is significantly similar to a region of the Archaeoglobus fulgidus genome. The record is from Rfam by way of RNAcentral. Lineage: Archaea; Methanobacteriati; Methanobacteriota; Archaeoglobi; Archaeoglobales; Archaeoglobaceae.
AUCAGCUUGAAAUAGUUUGCGAUUAUCUUUAUUAACUUUCGGAACGUAUAGUUAAUGCCCCAACCGGGGAGGGUGUGGAGAAAGCUUCGCUCUCGAUGAAGCUCCCUGCAAGCGUUGGGGUAACACCAUGUCGCAUGGUCCCCGAGCGAGAGGGGAGCAAAUGCUCCGUCUAUGACCUUGGGGCAACCCCGACAUGGGACAGCCCCGAACGGUCAGCCAUCCCGAGGUGGCGCGAGCCUGCGAUGAGGGAUGGUGUUAGCUUCGGGGGACAUUCUG